UACGUAGGGUGCGAGCGUUUGUCCGGAAUUACUGGGCGUAAAGAGCUCGUAGGUGGUUUGUCGCGUUGUCCGUGAAAACUCACAACUCAAUUGUGGGCGUGCGGGCGAUACGGGCAGACUGGAGUACUGCAGGGGAGACUGGAAUUCCUGGUGUAGCGGUGGAAUGCGCAGAUAUCAGGAGGAACACCGGUGGCGAAGGCGGGUCUCUGGGCAGUAACUGACGCUGAGGAGCGAAAGCGUGGGGAGCGAACAGG
RNAcentral lists this ribosomal RNA (254 nucleotides) under uncultured bacterium. RNAcentral describes it as "partial 16S ribosomal RNA". It matches the Rfam family "Bacterial small subunit ribosomal RNA", at positions 524 to 776 of the family's 1533-position model. The record is from RNAcentral.